Long non-coding RNA from Bos taurus (domestic cattle), 1313 nucleotides. The record is from Ensembl. NCBI's taxonomy places the organism in Eukaryota, Metazoa, Chordata, Mammalia, Artiodactyla, Bovidae.
CCAUAACAACAGGACUACAUUUCCCAUAGCCCUUUGCCCCCCAGGGUCUGGGUGAGCUCAGCCAGUGGAGGCCCCGGUGAAAGAGUGGAUGGCCAGAUGAGGGAGAGGCUAGUGGGGCUAACAUACGAGUUGGCCGACUGAGUUGUGGGUUGCACACGCCCCGUGUGGUGGGCCUCGUCUGACUAGCACCAAACGCCCAGCCUCCUCUGAGCAAGGCAGCCUUCCCCAGCAGCUGGGCUUCAGACACCAUCUGCAGCAUCCACUCUCCCUGGUUCUACAGCAGAUCGUUUGCAGAAGCUUAGUGAACAUCGGGCCUUCUGGUCUCCAGCUUGGAAACUUUGUAUUUGCCAGCCUCUGUAAUCGUAGUGCUGGGAGCUGAGGAUGCACUGAAGUGUUCUCUUUCCCUCUGCACUGGCCCCUGGCCAGUCCACUGGAAGGAGAGGGCCCACAGGCACGUGCUUGGGGUGGGUGAGACCACAGUCAGACAGCUGCGCACACGCCGUGACUCUAACUCCUGGGGGGUCGUCUCCCCGGCUGACUGCCUGCAGGAGCGGCGUCCCCUCAGGAUGGCUCCAGCCCUCCCCCCACUGCCUUCUUCAGUUUACCUCGGUCCACAGGGGAGGAGUCAUCCCUGCUGUAUUAGGCAGGGGCCCGGCAGAGCUGCUGUAACAGUGAGCCCCAAAAUGCAACAGCACACCCUGGAUAGAAGGCCAUCACUCUUCUGGCAGCCCCGGAGUUUGAGGGUGGUUGAAGUCCAUGCCGUGGGGCUCCCCAGGGAGCUGGGUUCAUUCCUUUGCGUUGCCCAUCCACACCAAGGGAUUCACUUCCUUUUCAAGGGUGUAGCUGCCAUUUGCCUGCAUCUCUUGUUUGCGCAUCCUAAUGACCACAGCCCAGUCCACCACAGGGUGUCCACCACAGCACACCCGCCCCAGGGAGAGCUGGGGACUGACCCUGCUCAGCUGGGCCUCCGGCGUCCUGGCAGUAAGGACGAUGGGAGCAGUGACCUGACCCUGUGGGAAAAUCCAGAGUCUCUGCAGCACUCACCAUGCCUAAGGGCAUCCACGCAGGUUGCCCCACUGUCCCCCUCUUCAUUCUGCCCUGGGGGAUGCUGCAGCCAGUCUCCAGCCGCCUGGAUUCACAGGAGGGAAGCAGCUUCAGCCAAAUUCUUGUGACAACCAGAAAAGUCCCAUCCGACUCGCCAAGACACAGCCCCAGGGAAUCUUCUCGCCUUCCUGCAACAUGACAUGGGCAAGCUCUGUGCACAGGCUCAGCUCUUUGCAGAAGCCAACACCCGCCUCUGCCCCCCUUAAUGA